AGUUGGAAACGACUGCUAAUACCGCAUAAGCCCACGGGUCGGCAUCGACCAGAGGGAAAAGGAGCAAUCCGCUUUGAGAUGGCCUCGCGUCCGAUUAGCUGGUUGGUGAGGUAAUGGCCCACCAAGGCGACGAUCGGUAGCCGGACUGAGAGGUUGAACGGCCACAUUGGGACUGAGACACGGCCCAGACUCCUACGGGAGGCAGCAGUGGGGAAUAUUGCACAAUGGGGGAAACCCUGAUGCAGCGACGCCGCGUGGAGGAAGAAGGUCUUCGGAUUGUAAACUCCUGUUGUUGAGGAAGAUAAUGACGGUACUCAACAAGGAAGUGACGGCUAACUACGUGCCAGCAGCCGCGGUAAAACGUAGGUCACAAGCGUUGUCCGGAAUUACUGGGUGUAAAGGGAGCGCAGGCGGGAAGACAAGUUGGAAGUGAAAUCUAUGGGCUCAACCCAUAAACUGCUUUCAAAACUGUUUUUCUUGAGUAGUGCAGAGGUAGGCGGA
This 501-nucleotide ribosomal RNA is filed under the name uncultured bacterium. RNAcentral describes it as "bacterial SSU rRNA". It matches the Rfam family "Bacterial small subunit ribosomal RNA", at positions 148 to 665 of the family's 1533-position model. The record is from RNAcentral.